UCCCCUUACCUUUAAUCUUUGGUAACCAUAAAUUAGCUUCCUAUAACUGUGAGUCUGUUUCUGUUUGGAAUAUCAUUUGUAUUAUCAUUACUUUUUGGAUUCACAUGUAAGUGGUAUCAUGUAAUAUUCAUUUUUUUCUGUGUCACUUAUUUCACUAAGUAUAAUAUUCUUUAGGUCCAUCCAUGUUGAUAUAAUGGCAAUAGUUCAUUCUUUUAUGGACAAGUAAUAAUAUCCCAUUAUAUAUGGAAUACACAGAUGACAAUCAUCUGUUGAUGGGCACUUGGAUUGUUUCUGCCUUGCUUAUUAAAUAUGAUUGAUAGCAACAUUUCAUGAAGAAGGUAAAACAGCACAUGAUGCAAAACCACAUAUUAUUUACUUCAAAAUGUAAGUUUCACAUGAAGUCUCUGACAAAAUUAGCCAAUCCUUGGGCUGCUGCAAGGUUUCUUGGGGCUUUUUACAACCUCCAAGCCCCUCUUCUGAGUAUGGAACACCCUCUCCUCAUUCCCUAACCCACCUAGCAAUUGGAAUAUUCACAAAGUACCUCUGUAAACACCAACCAGACCUCUUCCCACCCAGACUCCUAAACCCACUGCAAUCUGCUCCUACCUUCUCUGUAGCAUCCCUUCUCCUGAUAACCAGAAAAUUCCUAAUAGUCAGACCUAACAGCCAGUUUUCAGUCCUCAUCCUACCUCAUCUUAGCAUCUGACUUGGAGGACCAUGCUCUCUUGACUUCUUAUCCCCUCAGCUUUCACCCAGCCACUUUUUCCUCAUUAUCUUGCCUCCUUUACCUCCUCUUCUUAGCGUGCUUUCAGAACACCUCUGUCCUUUUCUUGUGUCAAGGUGCCUCCACCCCCACAAGCCUUUUGUCACUAUAAGCUCCUCCUAGGUGUUCAGUUUGACUGCCACGAAUUCACCUAUCAUCUAAUUACUCUCAAAUCUCUGUUUCUAACCCUGAUCGCCUUCUGAGCUUUAGGCUCAAAACCUAUAUAGGUCAGCCCCUUGGGAUAUUCUGCAGGCAAGUGAUUAUCAAAACAGAACUCCCCUUCUCUUGAACUCCCCAGCCCAGUCUAUUUCUACUUUUUCUAUCUCCAUUAAUAGAAGUAAUUCCCAACUUUUCCCUUCCUUGCCCAUUGAUCUAACUGAUCACCAAGUUCUGUCGGUUCUACCUCUCCCAAAGCUCUUCCUCACCUCCUCCUGCUCUCAGGUGUGGUUUAGACGUUCAUCAUAUCUAACAAAUUUGCCCAACUCUAGUUCUUCCCCUUUAUUGGCCAUUAGUCAGUCCUCUCUCACCACGGGGGUUGCCUUCCUAAGAAGAAACAGUCACACUCCGUGGUGACCAUCCACCCCUUAAUCACUUUAACAGCCUUCCCACUGCCAUCCCUCUUUAUAACCCUUCACCUGAGCCCAAAUAUACCUUAUAACUACACUCUUGCCUCUAUGCAGAUUGUUGUUUUCCCAUUACAACUACUCAUGUGUAAGAAUCCAACCUCAGAAGUCAAAAGUUUAAAUGACACCACCAAAUGUUGGAGAUGAUGUGAAGCCCGACUGCCAGUGAGAGUGCAGAAUGGAGCAACCACUUUGGCAAAAGGCAUGGAAGUUUCAUAUAAAGGUCUGCUAAGUAGCAUGGAGUGGUAGCUAACAGCAUGAACUUUAAACCAGACUUUCAAGGUUUGCGCCUGGGCUCUACCACCUUUUAACUUGAGACUUUGGGGCUUCUCUGGUGGCUCAGUGGUAAAGAAUCCACCUACCAAAGCCGGAGACACAGGUUUGAUCCCUGGUCCAGGAAGAUCCCACAGGCCGUGAGGCCACCACGCCAUGUGCCAUAGCUACUGACGCCUGUGCUCUACAAGAGAAGUCACCACAACGAUAAGCCUGCACUCCACAGCUGCAGAAAGGCUGCGUGUAGCAACAAAGACUUAGUGCAACCAAAAACAAAUAAAUAAAAUCAUUAAAAAAAGAAAAAAACUUGCAAAACAGAAGGGAAAAGACGUAUCUCAAUUUUUAAAAAAUGCAACAAAAGGCAAUUCAUAAAAGUAGAAUACAAAUGAAAAAAAGAAAUGUUUUCCUCACUAAUAAACAUAUGAAGUUAUCUUUUUAUAUAUCCCAAAUUGACAGUAAUGAAAAUAAUAUAGCUACUGGGAAGCAAUGACCUCAUAUACUGCAGAAGGCAGUUAAAAAGCCUUAAAAACAUGUAUCUAGGAUUUUCUUCUGAAGAAAAGAUCAAGGGACACGUGUAAAGAUCUAUAUCCAGGGAUAUUCAUCAAAGAAUUUUUUAAAAGUUAUUAAUGGAAAUAAUAGAAAUGUUCUACAGAAGAAGGCUGUUUUGGUACAUCAGUCCAUGUGUACAAUGGAAUACCACAGAGCCCUUAAAAAUUAUGUUGAAGAGUAUGUUCUAACUUGGUAAAUACCAGAAUGUUGAAGCCAUUGCACUCUAAAGUCAGACCUGGAUGUAAAUCCAUCUCUUCCCAGCUUUGUGUUAUGGGACAAUCAGUUUUCUCUCUCUAAGCCUCAGUUUCUCUACUGACCCUUUAAAGUUGUUGAGGGAGAUCAAAUGAAUCAUUUAUAAAAUGUACUUAUAAACACAAUGCCUGGCAUUCAGUGAAUAUGCUCUGCUCAUACAGAGUUGAAGUCAGUAAUACUGGCCUGCAAAAGACAUGUAAUAAACAUCUUUGAAUAAAUAUGAUGAACAUGACAGGAAAUUUUACUAAAAAAGUUGUGUUUAGGUCAAAAAGAAGAUGUGGCUCUAAAGUAAUGAGACCUUGGUUUUAUAGGACUUCAAGAACUCAGGAGGAAAUGCCAAAGGAAAGCUUUCAGAAGGAUUUUGAACAGCAGCAGCAUAUUGAAAUAAAUGUACACAGCCUGGAUAGUUGGAAACACAUUUAGAUCCCUAUCCAUGUGACCACUUUCCAUCAGAAGAUAGCUGUUUGAAUUGUCAGCUCAAAAGCUCCCACUGCCCAGCAAGGCCAAAUGCCAACACACAAAGCCACCCUUCAAACCAGUUAAGUUUAUCUCUAUGCCAAACACAGCCUUGAAGUACAAGUUUAGAUAGAAUGGGAACUGCUGAUGAAGAAUUGCUUCUGUGGACUCAGCCCUGUAAAGGGCCAGAGGAGUAAACAUGAUCUUCCAUGUGAAUGAACUGCAGUGGCUGCAUAUUGAUGAGACACAUUCAAGUCCUGCCUUCAGUGGUGCAGUCAAAAGUAGACUCUUUCCUCGCUCGGGUAUGAAAGCCUAUCUAUAAACAGCUUUGCCAGCUCUGUGGUGCUAGACAGUUGGACAAUUGAAAGAGAGGAUGGUCGUGACUGGACAGUAAGAACAACCCAGUGAGCACAGUUGGAAGUUGGAAAUAUCUCCAGCCUUUGUCCUUCACUCGUGACCCCCUCAGCCUGGAAACCUUGGCAUAUUGCUAAAGCUCCUCUUAGAGAAAAUAGCUCCAAUGAAUGGAGUUCACAGUCCUUUGCCUCUGAUUUAAGGUUCUCUCCCACCUCCUAUCUGCCCACAGCUUCAGCUCUUCCAUCGGGAGUACUUCCCCAGGGGCCUUCACCUUAGGAACUCUCUGCCUACAACUUGACACUCCCUGGAAAUGUCCCAGGACCUUUUGUACUCAUUCUAUGAGCUCAUCUCCCAGGUAAGAAGCCCUCACCUUGCCAUUCACUGACUAAAUCCCAUUCAUCCUUAAAACCCUGUGAAAUUCAAGUCUACUGUGAGAAGUUCUUCUUUUAAAUUCUUUAGCAUUUAUUGUUUCUACCACUUAACCUGGCCUUAGCAUGUUCUGCUUUCUGUUGUUGCUUGACUGGUAAGCUACAGAAGAGGGACUAGAUCUUGGCCUUUUUUUGUGAGUCUCCCCUCAACACACACACACGCACACACGCACGCCCCACAUAGCACAAGGCUGAGAACACUGAGAAUGCUCAAUAAAGAAACAUUUUUGGCCUGAAUGAAUGGCCUGAAGGACUGUUCCUUUCAACAAUUAUGGCCCAAUAAAUUAUACUGGCAUUGCCUCCUAGAGAGAAAGGCCACACUAAGGCUCCACAGAUGGGGAAACUGCUCUGUCUGCCAAAACCCAGAUUCAGGGCAGCCUUGGCCCUGUUUGGCUGUCUACCUGAAUCUGGGUUUAACAACUUGGACUACAGUUUUACAGCCUAAGUCACCAGGCUCAGCACAACAGCAUGAGUUCUUUGUCCACAUGCUGGUGCCAGGUGUUAAGGGAACUGGCUCACUCUGCUUAAGGAGACCUGCAGGUGGGGGAGGGGCUGCCUGUGCUCCAAGCUGUCAAGCCAGGGGGCUUGUCUGCAAAAGGAGCCUUCAUCUGGAUCCUAAACAGGAAAAAAGAAAUGAGGAAAGUUUAUAACAUGAGGAUUUCAGGCUGGAUGCUGGGGAAAGGGGGGUGGGGAAGUAGAAUGACCUGAAGGUCAUGACUGAAUGGGACAAAGCUGAGAAAAAUGGCCUAGACUCAAUCAGAUUUUAUUUCCGUUGUUGUAAGAGUUGCACAAUCCUAGGAAGGUGAAAGAAGACAGGAAUCCGUCAAAUUAAAUCUUUAGAGUUGAGGUUACUUUUUUUUUUUCCCCAAACCAUGCAGUAUAUAGGAUCUUAGU
Molecule: long non-coding RNA, 4592 nt
Organism: Bubalus bubalis (water buffalo)
Lineage: Eukaryota; Metazoa; Chordata; Mammalia; Artiodactyla; Bovidae
Exons: 6
Source: RefSeq, a predicted model, not a curated record